RNAcentral lists this ribosomal RNA (429 nucleotides) under Bacteroidota bacterium. RNAcentral describes it as "Bacteroidetes bacterium partial 16S ribosomal RNA". It matches the Rfam family "Bacterial small subunit ribosomal RNA", at positions 355 to 776 of the family's 1533-position model. Lineage: Bacteria; Pseudomonadati; Bacteroidota. The record is from RNAcentral.
UAGGGAAUCUUCCGCAAUGGGCGAAAGCCUGACGGAGCAACGCCGCGUGAGUGAUGAAGGUCUUCGGAUCGUAAAACUCUGUUAUUAGGGAAGAACAAAUGUGUAAGUAACUAUUCACAUCUUGACGGUACCUAAUCAGAAAGCCACGGCUAACUACGUGCCAGCAGCCGCGGUAAUACGUAGGUGGCAAGCGUUAUCCGGAAUUAUUGGGCGUAAAGCGCGCGUAGGCGGUUUUUUAAGUCUGAUGUGAAAGCCCACGGCUCAACCGUGGAGGGUCAUUGGAAACUGGAAAACUUGAGUGCAGAAGAGGAAAGUGGAAUUCCAUGUGUAGCGGUGAAAUGCGCAGAGAUAUGGAGGAACACCAGUGGCGAAGGCGACUUUCUGGUCUGUAACUGACGCUGAUGUGAGAAAGCGUGGGGAUCAAACAGG